CAUUAAGAAGCUAUAUUCAGCGUUAACCUUUUAAGUUAAAGAUUGAGAGCACAACACUCUCCUUGAUGA
This 69-nucleotide transfer RNA is filed under the name Pseudois nayaur (bharal). Its description in RNAcentral is "tRNA-Lys". The record is from RNAcentral. RNAcentral also lists the same sequence under 1 other name. Lineage: Eukaryota; Metazoa; Chordata; Mammalia; Artiodactyla; Bovidae.